Molecule: ribosomal RNA, 490 nt
Filed under: uncultured bacterium
Lineage: Bacteria
Description: partial 16S ribosomal RNA
Rfam family: Bacterial small subunit ribosomal RNA
Source: RNAcentral
AUUGAACGCUGGCGGCAGGCCUAACACAUGCAAGUCGAACGGUAACAGGAAACAGCUUGCUGUUUCGCUGACGAGUGGCGGACGGGUGAGUAAUGUCUGUGAAACUGCCUGAUGGAGGGGGAUAUCUACUGGAAACGGUAGCUAAUACCGCAUAACGUCGCAAGACCAAAGAGGGGGCCCUUCGGGCAUCUUGCCAUCGGCUGUGCGCAGAUGGGAAUCGCUAGUAGGUGGGGUAACGGCUCACCUAGUCGACGCUCCCUAGAUGGUCUGAGAGGAUGAAGAGCCACACGGGAACUGAGACAGGGUCCAGACGCCUACGGGAGGCAGCAGAGCGGUAUAUUGCACAAUGGGCGCAAGCAUGACACAGCCAUGCCGCGUGUAUGAAGAAGGCCUUCGGGUUGUAAAGUACUUUCUGCGGGGAGGAAGGGAGUAAAGUUAAUACCUUGGCUCAUUGACGUUACCCGCAAAAGAAGCACCGGCUAACUCCGUG